CGUCUGGUUCAGGGUUGUU
RNAcentral lists this ribosomal RNA (19 nucleotides) under Caenorhabditis sp. 8 KK-2011. RNAcentral's name for it is "partial 5.8S ribosomal RNA". The record is from RNAcentral. Lineage: Eukaryota; Metazoa; Nematoda; Chromadorea; Rhabditida; Rhabditidae.